GUUAAGUCGACCGCCUGGGGAGUACGGCCGCAAGGUUAAAACUCAAAUGAAUUGACGGGGGCCCGCACAAGCGGUGGAGCAUGUGGUUUAAUUCGAUGCAACGCGAAGAACCUUACCUGGUCUUGACAUCCACGGAAGUUUUCAGAGAUGAGAAUGUGCCUUCGGGAACCGUGAGACAGGUGCUGCAUGGCUGUCGUCAGCUCGUGUUGUGAAAUGUUGGGUUAAGUCCCGCAACGAGCGCAACCCUUAUCCUUUGUUGCCAGCGGUCCGGCCGGGAACUCAAAGGAGACUGCCAGUGAUAAACUGGAGGAAGGUGGGGAUGACGUCAAGUCAUCAUGGCCCUUACGACCAGGGCUACACACGUGCUACAAUGGCGCAUACAAAGAGAAGCGACCUCGCGAGAGCAAGCGGACCUCAUAAAGUGCGUCGUAGUCCGGAUUGGAGUCUGCAACUCGACUCCAUGAAGUCGGAAUCGCUAGUAAUCGUGGAUCAGAAUGCCACGGUGAAUACGUUCCCGGGCCUUGUACACACCGCCCGUCACACCAUGGGAGUGGGUUGCAAAAGAAGUAGGUAGCUUAACCUUCGGGAGGGCGCUUACCACUUUGUGAUUCAUGACUGGGGUGAAGUCGUAACAAGGUAACCGUAGGGGAACCUGCGGUUGGAUCACCUCCUUACCUUAAAGAAGC
This 686-nucleotide ribosomal RNA is filed under the name Escherichia coli. RNAcentral's name for it is "partial 16S ribosomal RNA". It matches the Rfam family "Bacterial small subunit ribosomal RNA", at positions 859 to 1533 of the family's 1533-position model. Lineage: Bacteria; Pseudomonadati; Pseudomonadota; Gammaproteobacteria; Enterobacterales; Enterobacteriaceae. RNAcentral also lists the same sequence under 1 other name. The record is from RNAcentral.